GUGUUUUGUUUAAUUGAAAAUCCCAAACAAUGCUGACUAAGUGCAACACAUACUCAACGUAGCGCAAAUUGCAGUCAAGAAAUUUCAUAUUAACUUUGCAGCGUAAGAGAGGGAGGCUGAAAUCCAAUGCAAAUCUUAAAAGAAAAAUCAACUCAUGGAUCCAGCAGAGGCGGGGCCAAGAAACACACCUUCUUCUGCCUCUUUUGAAGUCUUAUGGGCUUCUUCAGACGCACACGAAUCGCUCAUGACCGAUGCAUUUACUACGAACAUAUAAAAUAUGGAUCUUUGACAAGCAUUAGAACAUAUUGCACAAGGCAUGAUUGGCCGGUUGUAAAGUGGCGAAGAUGUCUAUUAAUGGGUCACGUGACACCACAUCGUCUGCGACUGGAGCGAUAAUUAUUCGUGGUCACCGUACUCAGAGGUUUUUAAAAGACUCGUUGCAUCUUAUCAUACACCAGUAGAGCAGUAUGUGAUUCUGAUGCCAGUUCAUUCACAGACCCGCAUCAGUUUCGUCUUUAGUACUUAUGUAGUUUCUGUAUUUUCUUACAUAGUUUGGUUGGAAAUGAUUAAAAUUGUGUUGGUACAGCAAAUGUCACCUUUAGCAUGUAUUAGAAUGAGAACACUUGUUGAAUAGUUUAAGGCCGAUGAAUUCAUUAGUAUAUUAUUAAAAUCUAUGUAACUGCACGUGUGUCAUCUUCAGAGAUGCCCAGGAGUAACGAAUUUGAUGUCUGUAUUAGAUAAAGUUGUUAGCCGAUGUUUAUCUAUAUGCACUUAAAAGUUUUCACUGGAAGGUAUCGA
Molecule: long non-coding RNA, 798 nt
Organism: Ostrea edulis (European flat oyster)
Lineage: Eukaryota; Metazoa; Mollusca; Bivalvia; Ostreida; Ostreidae
Exons: 3
Source: RefSeq, a predicted model, not a curated record